Molecule: ribosomal RNA, 468 nt
Filed under: uncultured bacterium
Lineage: Bacteria
Description: partial 16S ribosomal RNA
Rfam family: Bacterial small subunit ribosomal RNA
Source: RNAcentral
GACGAACGCUGGCGGCGUGCUUAACACAUGCAAGUCGAACGGAAAGGCCCUGCUUUUGUGGGGUGCUCGAGUGGCGAACGGGGGAGUAACACGUGAGUAACCUGCCCUUGACUUUGGGAUAACUUCAGGAAACUGGGGCUAAUACCGGAUAGGAGCUCCUGCUGCAUGGUGGGGGUUGGAAAGUUUCGGCGGUUGGGGAUGGACUCGCGGCUUAUCAGCUUGUUGGUGGGGUAGUGGCUUACCAAGGCUUUGACGGGUAGCCGGCCUGAGAGGGUGAACGGCCACAUUGGGACUGAGAUACGGCCCAGACUCCUACGGGAGGCAGCAGUGGGGAAUAUUGCACAAUGGGCGGAAGCCUGAUGCAGCAACGCCGCGUGCGGGAUGACGGCCUUCGGGUUGUAAACCGCUUUCGCCUGUGACGAAGCGUGAGUGACGGUAAUGGGUAAAGAAGCACCGGCUAACUACGUG